GACUCUCGGCAACGGAUAUCUCGGCUCUCGCAUCGAUGAAGAACGUAGCGAAAUGCGAUACUUGGUGUGAAUUGCAGAAUCCCGUGAACCAUCGAGUCUUUGAACGCAAGUUGCGCCCGAAGCCAUUAGGCCGAGGGCACGCCUGCCUGGGUGUCGCACAUCGUUGCC
RNAcentral lists this ribosomal RNA (168 nucleotides) under Amphiodon effusus. RNAcentral describes it as "5.8S ribosomal RNA". It matches the Rfam family "5.8S ribosomal RNA". From Rfam's summary of the family: 5.8S ribosomal RNA (5.8S rRNA) is a component of the large subunit of the eukaryotic ribosome. It is transcribed by RNA polymerase I as part of the 45S precursor that also contains 18S and 28S rRNA. Functionally, it is thought that 5.8S rRNA may be involved in ribosome translocation. The record is from RNAcentral. Lineage: Eukaryota; Viridiplantae; Streptophyta; Magnoliopsida; Fabales; Fabaceae.